AUUGAACGCUGGCGGCAUGCCUUACACAUGCAAGUCGAACGGCAGCGGACCUUCGGGUGCCGGCGAGUGGCGAACGGGUGAGUAAUAUAUCGGAACGUACCUUUCAGUGGGGGAUAACGUAGCGAAAGUUACGCUAAUACCGCAUAUUCUGUGAGCAGGAAAGCAGGGGAUCGCAAGACCUUGCGCUGAUUGAGCGGCCGAUAUCAGAUUAGCUAGUUGGUGAGGUAAAGGCUCACCAAGGCGACGAUCUGUAGCGGGUCUGGAGAGGAUGGAUCCGCCACACUGGAACUGAGACACGGUCCAGACUCCUACGGGAGGCAGCAGUGGGGGAAUUUUGGACAAUGGGCGGCAAGCCUGAUCCAGCCAUGCCGCGUGAGUGAAGAAGGCCUCGGUUGUAA
Molecule: ribosomal RNA, 398 nt
Filed under: uncultured bacterium
Lineage: Bacteria
Description: bacterial SSU rRNA
Rfam family: Bacterial small subunit ribosomal RNA
Source: RNAcentral